Xenopus laevis (African clawed frog) is the source of this 602-nucleotide long non-coding RNA. RefSeq lists it as uncharacterized. NCBI's taxonomy places the organism in Eukaryota, Metazoa, Chordata, Amphibia, Anura, Pipidae. The transcript is spliced from 6 exons. The record is from RefSeq and is a predicted model, not a curated record.
UGUGAACGGCGCAUGUGCAGUAGGAUCAUUUCGCGCAGAAGGGUAUCGGUGCAUCCAAUGCCUUGUGGCAUCUCCAACAAAGGUUAUGAGGUGUGUCCCCUGAAACAAAACAAAGAAAGAAAGAUAGAGCUGGGAGCUUUGCCCUGAAGAUUAAAGCAAACUUCAUGUGCUUGGAUUGAGAAUGUGGAGACGCUGUGGAUGUCUGUACCAGCUCUGUGUGAUCCCCGGUGAGUCUGACUGAGGGAGGUAUUGAAACUCCAGUGUGUUCCCUGGAUGAAGACAAGUGUUGUCCGUGUGCCUGCUACGUGGGAGCAACUACUCUGUCCAACAGGAGAGAUGCUGGUGGUGCAACUGUUCUUCUUAGUGAAAAACCUCCCGAGGGCACAUCACCAGGUUUUGCCCUGUUCCCAGGAACCCCUUGCACCUCUCUGGGUGAACAAAUGCACAAGAGAAAAUAUUUUAGGGGCAUAUUAUACUGAAAAUGUGCUCACUUUAAAUCCAUGCAAGGGAGACCUAGGAACAGAUAAACACAUGACAGGAUGCAGCUGAUGCAGUGUCACGGGGUCGUUGUUCAAGCUGCAGUUUAAGCAUCCCGUUUGGAA